This 463-nucleotide ribosomal RNA is filed under the name uncultured bacterium. Its description in RNAcentral is "partial 16S ribosomal RNA". It matches the Rfam family "Bacterial small subunit ribosomal RNA", at positions 339 to 795 of the family's 1533-position model. The record is from RNAcentral.
CUACGGGAUGCAGCAGUGGGGAAUUUUGGACAAUGGGCGCAAGCCUGAUCCAGCCAUUCCGCGUGAGUGAAGAAGGCCUUCGGGUUGUAAAGCUCUUUCGCAAGGGAAGAAAACUUAUCCUCUAACAUAGGGUGAGGUUGACGGUACCUUGAUAAGAAGCACCGGCUAACUACGUGCCAGCAGCCGCGGUAAUACGUAGGGUGCGAGCGUUAAUCGGAAUUACUGGGCGUAAAGCGUGCGCAGGCUGUUUUGUAAGUCAGAUGUGAAAUCCCCGAGCUCAACUUGGGAACUGCGUUUGAAACUACAAGACUAGAAUAUGUCAGAGGGGGGUAGAAUUCCAUGUGUAGCAGUGAAAUGCGUAGAGAUGUGGAGGAAUACCAAUGGCGAAGGCAGCCCCCUGGGAUAAUAUUGACGCUCAUGCACGAAAGCGUGGGGAGCAAACAGGAUUAGAUACCUGGUAGUC